This 681-nucleotide ribosomal RNA is filed under the name uncultured bacterium. RNAcentral describes it as "bacterial SSU rRNA". It matches the Rfam family "Bacterial small subunit ribosomal RNA", at positions 199 to 883 of the family's 1533-position model. The record is from RNAcentral.
GAUUAAAGAUUUAUCGGUGAUGGAUGGGGAUGCGUCUGAUUAGCUUGUUGGCGGGGUAACGGCCCACCAAGGCGACGAUCAGUAGGGGUUCUGAGAGGAAGGUCCCCCACAUUGGAACUGAGACACGGUCCAAACUCCUACGGGAGGCAGCAGUGAGGAAUAUUGGUCAAUGGGCGAGAGCCUGAACCAGCCAAGUAGCGUGCAGGAAGACGGCCCUAUGGGUUGUAAACUGCUUUUAUAAGGGAAUAAAGUGAGUCUCGUGAGACUUUUUGCAUGUACCUUAUGAAUAAGGACCGGCUAAUUCCGUGCCAGCAGCCGCGGUAAUACGGAAGGUCCGGGCGUUAUCCGGAUUUAUUGGGUUUAAAGGGAGCGUAGGCCGGAGAUUAAGCGUGUUGUGAAAUGUAGACGCUCAACGUCUGCACUGCAGCGCGAACUGGUUUCCUUGAGUACGCACAAAGUGGGCGGAAUUCGUGGUGUAGCGGUGAAAUGCUUAGAUAUCACGAAGAACUCCGAUUGCGAAGGCAGCUCACUGGAGCGCAACUGACGCUGAAGCUCGAAAGUGCGGGUAUCGAACAGGAUUAGAUACCCUGGUAGUCCGCACGGUAAACGAUGGAUGCCCGCUGUUGGUCUGAAUAGGUCAGCGGCCAAGCGAAAGCAUUAAGCAUCCCACCUGGGGAGUAC